AACGCGAAGAACCUUACCUGGGUUAAAUCCACCGGAAGCCUGCAGAGAUGUAGGCGUGCCCUUCGGGGAACCGGUGAGAAGGUGCUGCAUGGCUGUCGUCAGCUCGUGUCGUGAGAUGUUGGGUUAAGUCCCGCAACGAGCGCAACCCUUGUCGCUAGUUGCCAACGGUUCGGCCGGGCACUCAAGCGAGACUGCCGACGUUAAGUCGGAGGAAGGUGGGGAUGACGUCAAGUCCUCAUGGCCCUUAUGCCCAGGGCAACACACGUGCUACAAUGGCCGGUACAAAGGGCAGCGACACCGCGAGGUGAAGCCAAUCCCAAAAAACCGGUCUCAGUUCGGAUUGGAGUCUGCAACUCGACUCCAUGAAGUUGGAAUCGCUAGUAAUCGCGGAUCAGCACGCCGCGGUGAAUACGUUCCCGGGCCUUGUACACACCGCGAGC
This 440-nucleotide ribosomal RNA is filed under the name uncultured bacterium. RNAcentral's name for it is "bacterial SSU rRNA". It matches the Rfam family "Bacterial small subunit ribosomal RNA", at positions 958 to 1397 of the family's 1533-position model. The record is from RNAcentral.